Oreochromis aureus is the source of this 59-nucleotide microRNA precursor. The record is from Ensembl. NCBI's taxonomy places the organism in Eukaryota, Metazoa, Chordata, Actinopteri, Cichliformes, Cichlidae.
UGCAGGUUUCCCCAAACUUAUGCAAAUGUCCUGUUUAUAAGAUUGAUGAAACCUGCAGU